CCUACGGGUGACAGCAGUCGAGAAUCAUUCACAAUGGGGGAAACCCUGAUGGUGCGACGCCGCGUGGGGGAAUGAAGGUCUUCGGAUUGUAAACCCCUGUCAUGGGGGCGCAGAUUAAAAGGAUAGUACCACAAGAGGAAGAGACGACUAACUCUGUGCCAGCAGCCGCGGUAAUACACAGUGCUCAAGCGUGGUUCGGAAUCACUGGGCGUAAAGCGUGCGUAGGCGUGUUCGUAAGUCGUGUGUGAAAGGGGCGGGCUCAACCCGCGGACGGCCCAUGAUACUGCGAGACGUGAGUAAUGGAGGGGGAACCGGAAUUCUCGGUGUAGCAGUGAAAUGCGCAGAUAUCGAGAGGAACACUCGUGGCGAAGGCGGGUUCCUGGACAUCAACUGACGCUGAGGCACGAAGGCUAGGGGAGCGAAAGGGAUUAGAUACCCUUGUAGUC
RNAcentral lists this ribosomal RNA (446 nucleotides) under uncultured bacterium. RNAcentral describes it as "partial 16S ribosomal RNA". It matches the Rfam family "Bacterial small subunit ribosomal RNA", at positions 338 to 795 of the family's 1533-position model. The record is from RNAcentral.